Molecule: ribosomal RNA, 468 nt
Filed under: uncultured bacterium
Lineage: Bacteria
Description: partial 16S ribosomal RNA
Rfam family: Bacterial small subunit ribosomal RNA
Source: RNAcentral
GACGAACGCUGGCGGCGUGCUUAACACAUGCAAGUCGAACGGAAAGGCCCUGCUUUUGUGGGGUGCUCGUGUGGCGAACGGGUGAGUAACACGUGAGUAACCUGCCCUUGACUUUGGGAUAACUUCAGGAAACUGGGGCUAAUACCGGAUAGGAGCUCCUGCUGCAUGGUGGGGGUUGGAAAGUUUCGGCGGUUGGGGAUGGACUCGCGGCUUAUCAGCUUGUUGGUGGGGUAGUGGCUUACCAAGGCUUUGACGGGUAGCCGGCCUGAGAGGGUGACCGGCCACAUUGGGCCUGAGAUACGGCCCAGACUCCUACGGGAGGCAGCAGUGGGGAAUAUUGCACAAUGGGCGGAAGCCUGAUGCAGCAACGCCGCGUGCGGGAUGACGGCCUUCGGGUUGUAAACCGCUUUCGCCUGUGACGAAGCGUGAGUGACGGUAAUGGGUAAAGAAGCACCGGCUAACUACGUG